AUCUUAAAGAGUUUGAUCCUGGCUCAGAGUGAACGCUAGCGGUGCGCCUAACACAUGCAAGUCGAACGCCCCGCACCCUUUCUGUGUGUAAUAAAUAAUGAUAUCGAAAUUAUUCGAUAACAGUGUCAAAAGACGCACAAAAAGGGUGCGGGGAGUGGCGAACGGCUGAAUAACACGUUGGAACCUGCCCCGAACUCAGGGAUAAUCUACCGAAAGGUGGACUAAUACCGGAUGGUCUCGGUUCCUCUUUGUGCUUGAAAUUAAGGACUAUGUCGCAAUUAGAGCGACAGGGAAAUUGAAAAUUGUAAAUGGUAAAUGGAAAAUUGAGUCUCCAUUAGAGACUCAAAGUCGGAGUCACUUUAGUAUUUUCCAUUUUCCACUUUCCAUUUUCCAUUCCCCCAAUCCGAGCAUAAGGAGGAAUCGAGUAAAGAUUUAUCGGUUCGGGAGGGGCCUGCGGCCUAUCAGUUUGUUGGUAAGGUAAAAGCUUACCAAGACUAUGACGGGUAACUGGUCUGAGAGGACGACCAGUCAGAAUGGGACUGAGACACGGCCCAUACUCCUACGGGAGGCAGCAGUGAGGAAUCUUCCGCAAUGGGGGCAACCCUGACGGAGCGACACCGCGUGAAGGAUGACGCCUUAUUCGGGUGUAAACUUCUGUUCUGAGGGGCGAAAUUUUUGACGGUACCUCAGGAGAAAGCACCGGCUAAUUCCGUGCCAGCAGCCGCGGUAAGACGGAAGGUGCAAGCGUUACUCGGAAUUACUGGGCGUAAAGCGUCCGUAGGCGACUCUGUAUGUCUGGCGUAAAAGCACGAAGCUCAACUCCGUGUACGUGCCGGAAACUGCAGAGAUUGAGUCAUUCAGAGGCAUCUGGAAUGCUAUGUGUAGGGGUAAUAUCCGUUGAUCCAUAGUAGAACGCCAAAAGCGAAGGCAAGAUGCUGGGAAUGUACUGACGCUCAGGGACGAAAGCGUGGGGAGCAAACGGGAUUAGAUACCCCGGUAGUCCACGCCCUAAACGAUGCGUGCUCGGUGUGGGAAUUAUCAAUUGAUUUCCGUGCCUUAGCUAACGCGGUAAGCACGCCGCCUGGGAAGUACGGCCGCAAGGCUAAAACUCAAAGGAAUAGACGGGGACCCACACAAGCGGUGGAGCAUGGGGUUUAAUUCGAUAAUAAGCGGAGAACCUCACCCAGGUUUGACAUCCCGAGGAUCCACCCGAAAGGGAGGAGUGCCGUAAGGAACUCGGUGACAGGUGAUGCACGGUCGUCGUCAGCUCGUGCCUUGAGGUGUACUGUUAAGUCAGCAAACGAGCGCAACCCUCAUCCUAUGUUGUUUUUUCAUAGGAGACUGCCGCCUCCAAGGCGGAGGAAGGUGAGGAUGACGUCAGAUCUGCGUGUCCCUUAUGCCUGGGGCAACACCCGUGCUACAAUGGCCGGUACAGAGGGCAGCGAACCCGCGAGGGGGAGCAAAUCCCAAAAAACCGGUCUCAGUUCGGAUUGAAGUCUGCAACUCGACUUUAUGAAGUUGGAAUCGCUAGUAACCGUGAAUCAGCUACGUCACGGUGAAUAUGUUCCUGGGUCUUGUACUCACUGUUAAAAAGCGCUCGGCAGCGCAUAAAACUAGGUGGUUAAAAUCCACCCCUCCUUU
This 1641-nucleotide ribosomal RNA is filed under the name Patescibacteria group bacterium. Its description in RNAcentral is "bacterial SSU rRNA". It matches the Rfam family "Bacterial small subunit ribosomal RNA". The record is from RNAcentral.